Molecule: ribosomal RNA, 468 nt
Filed under: uncultured bacterium
Lineage: Bacteria
Description: bacterial SSU rRNA
Rfam family: Bacterial small subunit ribosomal RNA
Source: RNAcentral
CCAGACUCCUACGGGAGGCAGCAGUGGGGAAUCUUCCGCAAUGGGCGAAAGCCUGACGGAGCAACGCCGCGUGAUCGAAUGGAGGCCUUCGGGUUGUAAAGAUCUGUUGACAGGGACGAAUAAGCAAUGCGAAUAGUUUUGUGUAUGACGGUACCUGUUUAGAAAGCUCCGGCUAACUACGUGCCAGCAGCCGCGGUAAUACGUAGGGAGCAAGCGUUGUCCGGAAUUACUGGGCGUAAAGGGGGCGCAGACGGCGAUGCAAGCCAGGAGUGAAAGCCCGGGGCCCAACCCCGGGACUGCAUUUGAAACUGUCAGGCUGGAGUGCAGGAGAGGUAAGUGGAAUUCCUAGUGUAGCGGUGAAAUGCGUGGAUAUUAGGAGGAACACCAGUGGCGAAGGCGGCUUACUGGACUGUAACUGACGUUGAGGCUCGAAAGCGUGGGGAGCAAACAGGAUUAGAUACCCGAGUA